RNAcentral lists this ribosomal RNA (253 nucleotides) under uncultured bacterium. Its description in RNAcentral is "partial 16S ribosomal RNA". It matches the Rfam family "Bacterial small subunit ribosomal RNA", at positions 524 to 776 of the family's 1533-position model. The record is from RNAcentral.
UACAGAGACUGCAAGCGUUAUUCGGAUUCACUGGGCGUAAAGGGUGCGCAGGCGGCCGUGUGUGUCAGGUGUGAAAUCUCGAGGCUCAACCUCGAAAUGGCGCCUGAAACUACACGGCUAGAGUACUGGAGAGGGUAACGGAAUUCACGGUGUAGCGGUGAAAUGCGUAGAUAUCGUGAGGAACACCAGAGGCGAAGGCGGUUACCGGGACAGUUACUGACGCUGAGGCACGAAAGCGUGGGGAGCAAAAGGG